GAUGAACGCUGGCGGCGUGCCUAAUACAUGCAAGUAGAACGCUGAAGGAAGGAGCUUGCUCUUUCCGGAUGAGUUGCGAACGGGUGAGUAACGCGUAGGUAACCUGCCUGGUAGCGGGGGAUAACUAUUGGAAACGAUAGCUAAUACCGCAUAACAGUAGAUGUUGCAUGAUAUCUACUUAAAAGGUGCAAUUGCACCACUACCAGAUGGACCUGCGUUGUAUUAGCUAGUUGGUGAGGUAACGGCUCACCAAGGCGACGAUACAUAGCCGACCUGAGAGGGUGAUCGGCCCCACUGGGACUGAGACACGGCCCAGACUCCUACGGGAGGCAGCAGUAGGGAAUCUUCGGCAAUAGACGGAAGUCUGACCGAGCAACGCCGCGUGAGUGAAGAAGGUUUUCGGAUCGUAAAGCUCUGUUGUAAGAGAAGAACGAGUGUGAGAGUGGAAAGUUCACACUGUGACGGUAUCUUACCAGAAAGGGACGGCUAACUACGUG
Molecule: ribosomal RNA, 497 nt
Filed under: uncultured bacterium
Lineage: Bacteria
Description: partial 16S ribosomal RNA
Rfam family: Bacterial small subunit ribosomal RNA
Source: RNAcentral